RNAcentral lists this long non-coding RNA (381 nucleotides) under Heterocephalus glaber (naked mole-rat). Its description in RNAcentral is "lncRNA (ENSHGLG00000036379.1)". The record is from RNAcentral. Lineage: Eukaryota; Metazoa; Chordata; Mammalia; Rodentia; Bathyergidae.
AGAGGGAGAAAGACAGGGAAAUUGUUCAGUACUACGGGUACACAAGAUGAGGCUGGCCUUGAACUUGAAGCCAUCUUCCUGCUUCUGCCUCUCAAGUGCUUGGAUUACAGGUGUGCACCACAUACCCAGCAGCCAUUUCUUUCUUACUGUCAUCUUCACUCCAUCAAGUUCUAGCAAUAAUACCUAAAUAUCUCUAGAAUAUGACCACAUCUUCCCACCAAAAUGGCCACAUCUUGGUCUAAGCUACUAUUAUGUUUCAAUUCCUACAAAAGCCUCUGAACUGAGCUUGUUUCUAUUUCAUUUCUUUGCACUGCAUUCUCCACUCAGUAGUAAAAUGAUAGGUUAAAAGUGCAAAUUUGAUUAUGUUCUACACAAUCACAC